Mus musculus (house mouse) is the source of this 110-nucleotide non-coding RNA. NCBI's taxonomy places the organism in Eukaryota, Metazoa, Chordata, Mammalia, Rodentia, Muridae. The record is from Rfam.
UGCUUUAUCAAUUUCUACAGCACAUAUAUAAAAUUGGAAAGAUACAGAAAAGAUUAGCAUGGCCCCUGUUCAAGGGGGGUCUAUUUUAUUUAUUUUUUUUGUACUUCAUU